AUACGAAGGGUGCAAGCGUUGUUCGGAUUUACUGGGCGUAAAGAGAGUGUAGGUGGUUUAUUAAGUCGGAUGUGAAAUCCCGGGGCUCAACCUCGGAACUGCAUUCGAUACUGAUAGGCUAGAGUUUGGGAGGGGUAAGCGGAAUUCCGUGUGUAGCAGUGAAAUGCGUAGAUAUACGGAGGAACACCUGAGGCGAAGGUGGCUUACUGGACCAAUACUGACACUGAGACUCGAAAGCGUGGGUAGCAAACAGGAUUAGAAACCCUAGUAGUCC
Molecule: ribosomal RNA, 274 nt
Filed under: uncultured bacterium
Lineage: Bacteria
Description: partial 16S ribosomal RNA
Rfam family: Bacterial small subunit ribosomal RNA
Source: RNAcentral